Molecule: ribosomal RNA, 252 nt
Filed under: uncultured bacterium
Lineage: Bacteria
Description: partial 16S ribosomal RNA
Rfam family: Bacterial small subunit ribosomal RNA
Source: RNAcentral
UACGUCGGGUGCAAGCGUUGUCCGGAAUUAUUGGGCGUAACGAGCUCGUAGGCGGUCUGUCGCGUCGGAUGUGAAAAUCCAGGGCUCAACCCUGGACCUGCAUUCGAUACGGGCAGACUAGAGUUCGGUAGGGGAGACUGGAAUUCCUGUGUAGCGGUGAAAUGCGCAGAUAUCAGGAGGAACACCGGUGGCGAAGGCGGGUCUCUGGGCCGAAACUGACGCUGAGGAGCGAAAGCGUGGGGAGCAAACAGG